This 59-nucleotide transfer RNA is filed under the name Streptosyllis sp. THS1. Its description in RNAcentral is "tRNA-Ala". Lineage: Eukaryota; Metazoa; Annelida; Polychaeta; Phyllodocida; Syllidae. The record is from RNAcentral.
GGUUUUUUAGUUUAUAAGAAUAAGUAAUUUGCAUUUACUAGGAGCAUUUGUAAAAACCA